UGGGGAAUAUUGCACAAUGGAGGAAACUCUGAUGCAGCGACGCCGCGUGAGCGAUGAAGGCUUUCGAGUCGUAAAGCUCUGUCCUAUGGGAAGAUAAUGACGGUACCAUAGGAGGAAGCCCCGGCUAACUACGUGCCAGCAGCCGCGGUAAUACGUAGGGGGCGAGCGUUGUCCGGAAUCACUGGGCGUAAAGGGUUCGCAGGCGGUCUACCAAGUCCGAUGUGAAAGGCAUGGGCUCAACCCAUGUAAGCAUUGGAAACUGGUAGACUUGAGUUAAGGAGAGGUAAGUGGAAUUCCUAGUGUAGCGGUGAAAUGCGUAGAUAUUAGGAAGAAUACCGGUGGCGAAGGCGACUUACUGGACUUAAACUGACGCUGAGGAACGAAAGCGUGGGGAGCAAACAGG
This 403-nucleotide ribosomal RNA is filed under the name Acidobacteriota bacterium. RNAcentral's name for it is "Acidobacteria bacterium partial 16S ribosomal RNA". It matches the Rfam family "Bacterial small subunit ribosomal RNA", at positions 355 to 776 of the family's 1533-position model. Lineage: Bacteria; Pseudomonadati; Acidobacteriota. The record is from RNAcentral.